CACCGCGGUUAUACGAGUGACCCAAGUUGAUAGACACCGGCGUAAAGCGUGGUUAAGAUAUUAUUCAACUAAAGCCGAACAUCUUCAGAGCAGUUAUACGUAUCCGAAGACACGAAGCCCCACCACGAAAGUGGCUUUAUUUUACCUGACCCCACGAAAGCUAUGAUA
This 168-nucleotide ribosomal RNA is filed under the name Kali indica. RNAcentral's name for it is "partial 12S rRNA". The record is from RNAcentral. Lineage: Eukaryota; Metazoa; Chordata; Actinopteri; Scombriformes; Chiasmodontidae.